Molecule: microRNA precursor, 89 nt
Organism: Phascolarctos cinereus (koala)
Lineage: Eukaryota; Metazoa; Chordata; Mammalia; Diprotodontia; Phascolarctidae
Product: microRNA 19b-1
Source: Ensembl
GCACUGUUCUAUGGUUAGUUUUGCAGGUUUGCAUCCAGCUGUAUGAUAUUCUGCUGUGCAAAUCCAUGCAAAACUGACUGUGGUGGUGG